Molecule: long non-coding RNA, 1073 nt
Filed under: Jatropha curcas
Lineage: Eukaryota; Viridiplantae; Streptophyta; Magnoliopsida; Malpighiales; Euphorbiaceae
Description: long non-coding RNA (JCUR_LNC003223)
Source: RNAcentral
AGACAUUUGCAUGGAUGCACUACUACUGGUACCUCACAAAUGAUGGGAUUGAGUUUUUGAGGACUUACCUUAAUCUUCCAUCAGAAAUUGUUCCUGCUACAUUGAAGAAAUCUGCAAGGCCCACUGGUCGGCCAAUGGGUGGCCCACCUGGUGAUCGCCCCCGGUAAUUUGAAUUUGAACAUUUGUUUCUUAAAGGUUAUUUAGCUCUUUUUUUUCCCUUCAUGGUUUGCAAAGUGAUUUAUGUGUUCUGUUCAUUUGAAUCUGUAGAGGCCCACCUCGCUUUGAUGGAGACCGCCCAAGAUUUGGUGAUCGUGAUGGGUACCGUGGAGGCCCUCGAGGGGGUGAUUUUGGUGGUGAAAAGGGAGGUGCUCCAGCGGACUUCCAGCCAUCGUUUAGGGUAAUUUUACUUCAAUACCGUUUCACUAUAUGCAUCUUAUUUCAUUGGAGUUCUCCUUGGGUUCAAUUACCAACUCUUUGCAUCAUGACUUAUUCUCUCUUGUGCAUUUUUUUUCCUGCCUAUUGCUGGAAAGAAUACCACAUCAAUUUGCUGGAAAAAUAGCUGUAUUUUAUGCCUCUGAUUAUAACCUCUCCCAAUUUUCUGAUGCAUUUUUUUUUGGCUUGGCCAAGCUUUUCAUAGUCGGAUGCCUCAUCCUUUUUGGCCCUUCUACGUUUUCUAUUUUUCUGUUGCUGCUUUUAUUUUAUUCUUUUGGUUGUUGUAUCUAUACUUGUCAUCUACAUUUUAUUCAGAGGUCCAUUUGAGAAAACCCAUGGGCAGGAAUUCAAUUAAAAUUCAUUCAAAUAGAUUAAAGUGAAUUCUAAUUGAGAAGUUAUUUGAGGAUUAAUGAUUUGAAUUGAGUUAAAUACCUAUAAUAAUUUGAUUUCGAAUUCAGUCUAAAUUGAGUUGAAUUGAAUUGAAUCAACAUCAAACUUAGAAUGACAUCACUUGAAUGUUUGAAUUAGAUGUUAUGUUACACAUUGUCAUGUCCCAAUAUUACGGUAUUCUAGAUAUAUUCCUACUGUAUGCUACCAUGUUCAGUAUUUCUUAUGUUUGGUAAUUUUGUUAUGUUUUGAAA